RNAcentral lists this non-coding RNA (271 nucleotides) under Clostridiales bacterium. RNAcentral describes it as "T-box sequence". It matches the Rfam family "T-box leader". Rfam says of the family: Uncharged tRNA acts as the effector for transcription antitermination of genes in the T-box leader family. T-boxes are found upstream of many aminoacyl-tRNA synthetase genes and some amino acid biosynthetic genes usually in Gram-positive bacteria. Lineage: Bacteria; Bacillati; Bacillota; Clostridia; Eubacteriales. The record is from RNAcentral.
AUAAAAGCUAUGAUAGGGAAAAGUAGUGUUACUAUUGCAUUUUAGAGAGUCAGCGAUGGACAUUUUAUAAAUUCUUUAUAAAAGUCCUAGGUGUAAGCUGAUAUGGAUAUAAUACGAAAUACACCCUUGAGCUGCAGACUGAGAAAUGAACAAGUAAGUUGUGCCGGAAGCUUCCACCGUUACAUAGGAAGAGAGUAUGUAUGUACUCGGAAACAAGAGGACUGCUAUAUGCAGUCAAUUAGGGUGGUACCGCGAGCCUUUCGUCCCUUGA